Molecule: non-coding RNA, 438 nt
Organism: Odocoileus virginianus texanus
Lineage: Eukaryota; Metazoa; Chordata; Mammalia; Artiodactyla; Cervidae
Source: RefSeq, a predicted model, not a curated record
AGCAGACAUACCAGCUUCCAUCCACGGCUGCUAAUGGACCAAAGAGGCUCCCCUGAGAGUGCGCUCUGUUCUGAGGUCUGCAGUAGGAACUCCUGGUCUCCUGGGCAGCCCAUCACCAAGUUGUAACAGAGCUGUGGAGCCAGCAGAGUGUACAGUAAAGCAACAUUGGCCUGACUAGAGGAGGUUUUACAAAAGGAAAUGGCUUGAGCAAAGGCCAGGAGCCAUCAACACUCAGCAGAAUAUCAAGUCCACAGACGCCUGAGGUGCAUGGUAUUAGGAUUGAAGGGGACACGGUCUGCAUCCCAAAUUAAGGGAACCUGACUGUAUACGGAUCUACCUGGGUGUUCUGAACUUGGCUUUGGCCUCCAUCCAAGUGCUGACAUUUCCUUAGCAGAGAACUCGGGUUCGCUCCCCCACCCUGCUUAGCCUCUGCUUGCU